AACGAACGCUGGCGGCGCGCCUAAUACAUGCAAGUCGAGCGAGAAGACGUAGCAAUACGUUUGUAAAGCGGCGAACGGGUGAGGAAUACAUGGGUAACCUACCCUCGAGUGGGGAAUAACUAGCCGAAAGGUUAGCUAAUACCGCGUACGCUCCUCGGACUUCGGUUCAGGGAGGAAAGCGAUACCGUGGGUAUCGCGCUCUUGGAUGGGCUCAUGUCCUAUCAGCUUGUUGGUGAGGUAACGGCUCACCAAGGCUUCGACGGGUAGCUGGUCUGAGA
RNAcentral lists this ribosomal RNA (278 nucleotides) under uncultured bacterium. Its description in RNAcentral is "partial 16S ribosomal RNA". It matches the Rfam family "Bacterial small subunit ribosomal RNA", at positions 29 to 297 of the family's 1533-position model. The record is from RNAcentral.